This 262-nucleotide ribosomal RNA is filed under the name uncultured bacterium. RNAcentral's name for it is "partial 16S ribosomal RNA". It matches the Rfam family "Bacterial small subunit ribosomal RNA", at positions 94 to 353 of the family's 1533-position model. The record is from RNAcentral.
AGCGGCGGACGGGUGAGUAACGCGGUGGGUAACCUGCCUCAUACAGGGGGAUAACAGUUAGAAAUAGCUGCUAAUACCGCAUAAGCGCACAGUUCCGCAUGGAACAGUGUGAAAAACUCCGGUGGUACAAGAUGGACCCGCGUCUGAUUAGCUGGUUGGUGAGGUAACGGCCCACCAAGGCAACGAUCAGUAGCCGGCCUGAGAGGGUGAACGGCCACAUUGGGACUGAGACACGGCCCAAACUCCUACGGGAGGCAGCAUG